UGUACACACCGCCCGUCGCUACUACCGAUUGAAUGGCUCAGUGAGGCUUUUGGACUGGCUCCAGGAGGAUGGCAACAUCCACCCAGAGCCGGAGAAUCUGUCAAACUUGGUCAUUUAGAGGAAGUAAAAGUCGUAACAAGGUUUCCGUAGGUGAACCUGCGGAAGGAUCAUUAAAAAAAUCUACGUUUUGGCCGACUCUCGCUGCAAGGCGAGGGAAGGUUUGAUACGUUCUCAACCAUUGUGAAACUACCUGUUGCUUCGGCGGCAUGCUCGUGCUGUCAGCCCGUCCGGAGCCCAACACAAACUCUUCUGUAAACGGCAGUCAGACAAGAUAAAGUAAAUCUUUAAAACUUUCAACAACGGAUCUCUUGGUUCUCGCAUCGAUGAAGAACGCAGCGAGACGCGAUAGGUAAUGUGAAUUGCAGAAUUCAGUGAAUCAUCGAAUCUUUGAACGCACAUUGCGCCUCUUGGUAUUCCGAGGGGCAUGUCUGUUUGAGCGUCAGUACCCACUCUUCCCUUUGCAUUUGCUUAGGAAAGGUCUUGAAGGAAUGCACCCUUCCAAAGUUGCACGCUUGCGAACCCGAUACCGAUCACGACGUAGUAAACAUUCUCGUUAUUGAAAGGUGGAAAGGCCGCCUGAAAUCAAACUGUAGUUUGACCUCAGAUCAGACAAGGAUACCCGCUGAACUUAAGCAUAUCAAUAAGCGGAGGAAAAGAAACCGACAGGGAUUGCCUUAGUAACGGCGAGUGAAGCGGCAAGAGCUCAAAUUUGAAAUCUGAUAUCUUUGGAUGUCCGAGUUGUAAUUUGAAGAGGAAACUUCGGAUUGGACCACGAUCUAUGUGCCUUGGAACAGGUCUGUCAUAGAGGGUGAGAAUCCCGUACACGGUUGAUGGUCUCUUUCCAUGUGAAGUUCCUUCGAAGAGUCGAGUUGUUUGGGAAUGCAG
Molecule: ribosomal RNA, 945 nt
Filed under: uncultured Ascomycota
Lineage: Eukaryota; Fungi; Ascomycota
Description: eukaryotic LSU rRNA
Rfam family: Eukaryotic large subunit ribosomal RNA (bases 656-945)
Source: RNAcentral